CCCGGGAGGAGGAUGCCCGGGACCGCUCCCCCGCUCCUGCCAGCCGGUGGCCUCAGCGUUUCCCGAACUUGAGACUCACCUAAGGCGCUCACUUUCCCAGGCUGCUCCCAGUCAAGGUGCAUUCCGUGGGCCCCGGGAUCUGUUCACCACGCCCCGUGCCAACGAGUAAGCCGAGCCCAUUACAUAGGAUUCUCCUGCAAGUCAGCCCUGCAAGGAAGGGGUGAUGAUCCCCAUUUUCUGAUGCAGUGUCCUGAUCUUUCCCCGGUACCUGUUGUUGGAAGUGGAGCCAUUAGGGAAAGCGGUGAACUUAUUAUGAAAAUGAGAUAAUUGAGCAUCUAGGGAAGGGAAGCGACCAUGGUGCCUGAGGCCAACUUUCAGGAGGCCGGUGGUGCUAGUCUUUUGGUGCCUGGCCCAUUCUCUGGAGAUUGGACCUGCAGGACUACGGAGGAAACAGCAAACAGCGGUGGCAGUGGUGGG
This is a long non-coding RNA of Myotis brandtii (Brandt's bat), 477 nucleotides long. RefSeq lists it as uncharacterized. NCBI's taxonomy places the organism in Eukaryota, Metazoa, Chordata, Mammalia, Chiroptera, Vespertilionidae. The transcript is spliced from 5 exons. The record is from RefSeq and is a predicted model, not a curated record.